RNAcentral lists this transfer RNA (71 nucleotides) under Hordeum vulgare. RNAcentral describes it as "tRNA-Asn". It matches the Rfam family "tRNA". From Rfam's summary of the family: Transfer RNA (tRNA) molecules are approximately 80 nucleotides in length. Their secondary structure includes four short double-helical elements and three loops (D, anti-codon, and T loops). The record is from RNAcentral. Lineage: Eukaryota; Viridiplantae; Streptophyta; Magnoliopsida; Poales; Poaceae. RNAcentral also lists the same sequence under 2 other names.
UCCUCAGUAGCUCAGUGGUAGAGCGGUCGGCUGUUAACUGACUGGUCGUAGUUCGAAUCCUACUUGGGGAG